This 285-nucleotide unclassified non-coding RNA is filed under the name plant metagenome. RNAcentral's name for it is "partial contains small subunit ribosomal RNA, internal transcribed spacer 1, and 5.8S ribosomal RNA". The stretch from base 1 to 54 matches the Rfam family "Eukaryotic small subunit ribosomal RNA", at positions 1778 to 1831 of the family's 1831-position model. The record is from RNAcentral.
GGAAGUAAAAGUCGUAACAAGAUUUCUGUAGGUGAACCUGCGGAAGGAUCAUUAUUGUAUAACCGAGGUGCGAGGGCUGUCGCUGACCCGAAAGGUCGUGCACGCCCGAGUGCCCUCACACACAUCCAUCUCACCCCUAUGUGCACCACCGCGUGGGUCCCCCUUUGGCUUGUUCGGAGGGGGGCUUACGUUUUCACACAAACUUUGUAUGCAGUGUAGAAUGUAUUUUUUGUUUUUGCGAUCACGCAAUCAAUACAACUUUCAACAACGGAUCUCUUGGCUCUC